UGUGGUGUGUGCAUCACAAAAAGGUGCUCUUGGAAAUAGCAUUUCCGGUAUAAACAGGAAGUGUCAAAUGACCCUGAAGUGACAGUUUCCGGUGGGUGGCCAGAGGCAUUUCUGGGCCGAAUCUGCAAAUCUGGAAUGCUACGCAGACGUGGCCAUUAGUUGAUGUGUCUUGAGGGAAGCUGGUGGAUGGAGAGCAUCGACAUCAUGCCAACAACUGCUGCUGAAAGGAAUAAAGACAUGCAUAUUUAAUAUGGAAGCAUAUGGUUGUCAUCGGAGGAGGUCAGCGCUUGAGGCGAAGCUGAGGCUUCUUCCUGUGGGCUAUGCAUCUGCCCUCCACUCGUUGGACGUUGGGAUUGACAAGAAGUGAGACUCUUGUACUCAAGGAUGACGAUCAGAGGUGAGGUUGUUUUUGUUUAGUAUGCCCUCUACUGUCCAGGUGUGGUUACUACACUUUGAGGUGUUCACUCCUUCUUUGCAUUCCUCAUCAGAUGGCCGACUCAAGUCAGGUGUGUGUUUGUGGAGAUACUAGCGAGAGCGUGGAAGCAACCCUCUUUGGCUGGAUAUGAUUUUUAAAGCAUAAUUUAAAAGCAUUAUUUUUGCAUUGUUUUCAAGGUGCGUAUAGUUUUCCAACAAUCCACCCGCUUCCUGAGCUUCUCUCCUGAACUCCUAUCAUGGCAGAUUGUUUGCAGUGUGGCAGUUGUGGAUGAGGCUGAUCUUCCUAAUGCACCUUCCUCUGCAGAGGAUAUAAAUUAGUCUGAACUAUAGAGCUGAUCUACCGCUGCCAACCUCAUCUGCAAAGUGAGGGGUGUGAGGCGGUAUGGAGAAGAUGCAAUGUCAGACUGCUCUCUCUGAGUUUUCCCACAAGGACAGACUUAUGGCACGACUUUUACCACAUGCAGCUAAAAGCAAGUACAGCUUACUGCAUUUAGUACACAAAUGUGGUAUCAAUGAGCCCGUGAUGUUUCUUGAUUCACUUUUCCAGCUGUAUCAAUUUUAUCAAACUGAUAUAUGAACCUCAGAAUAAAUAAAUGGGGCUAAAGAAGGAGCCCUGGGGAACACCGCAACAAGAAACCUUAUUAAACUUGACAACCAGGGACUAAGUGACAGAGAUAAACCUCGAAGUUCUUUCAGGGUUGAUAAUUUGAUCUACCGACUCGUUACCAAACAAAUCUUUUAAGUCUUAUUACCAGAAUCACUUCCCAACACUAGCUUUAGCUUUUUAAUUCCCGUAUCGGUCUGCUCGUACUCCAGUUGUAAAUGAUCUGUCUCAUCAACUUAAAGGUGUUAUUUCAUCUAAGGUUAAAGGAAAAUAUAUCACAACAAAAAGUAUAAGACACCUUUGAUAAAGUUCAAUAACAGAUGAGUGAAUGUGAAGUGCUAAUCAAAUGGUUUCUUUUGGAAAAUAGUCAAGUCGUGUGAGCCUGCUUAGUCCGGGACGAUGCA
This is a long non-coding RNA of Syngnathus acus (greater pipefish), 1443 nucleotides long. RefSeq lists it as uncharacterized. The record is from RefSeq and is a predicted model, not a curated record. Lineage: Eukaryota; Metazoa; Chordata; Actinopteri; Syngnathiformes; Syngnathidae. The transcript is spliced from 4 exons.